This 967-nucleotide long non-coding RNA is filed under the name Mytilus galloprovincialis (Mediterranean mussel). Lineage: Eukaryota; Metazoa; Mollusca; Bivalvia; Mytilida; Mytilidae. The record is from RNAcentral.
UUAUUUUCGCGACUUUUGUGAGUAGAAAAAUAACGCGAAUAUAAAUCGUCGUGAAAAUGUAAAGCUUGGAUCUUUCAUUAUUAAACUACAUCAGGUAAAUUACAAAAUCGCGAAAUUAAAUUGGCACGAAGUGGACAAGAAAGGCUGAAACGCGAAAUAAAGUAUCUGCGAAAAUUAGUUGGUUUACAGUAAGUCAUUUUAAUAAUCAUGAUACAUGCAUGAUCAUGUACUUUGAAAUUUGAAGUUAUUCAUAUAAUUACACCAAAAGUCUUGUUAUUGGCUUUGAACUAGCUGUUGGUACAUGUAACUCAGGGAGUACUCUCAGAUAUGUACUUAGUCUUUUUUGUUAAGGGGAUGUGUAAGAUGUCUUUCUGCUUUGUUUAGAUUGAUGAGUUAGGCCUUGUUCACAAUAAUAUCCCCAGAUAGAUGGGUUUGGCAUCACAAAACUACUAGUCUAGCCCCAUCACAUUCUGUACAUGAGUAUCAGCCUGUAAUUCAGUGGUUUGGUUUGUUGCUGUAUAUCAUAUUUUGUUUUUUUGUUCUUUUUUUGUACAUAAAUUAGUCUAGUUAGUUUUCUUGUUUGAAAUGUUUUACAAAUUUAUCAUUUUCAUUUGGGAUCUUUUAUAGCGGACUAUUAGAUACAUGGGCUUUGCUCAUUGUUGAAGGAUGUAAGGUGACCUAUAGUCAUGAUAGCUGUUAACUUCUAUUUAAUCUCUGGUGAAGAGUUGUCUUUUCUCAUUAGUGUAAACAAUAUUGUAUUUUGAAAAUAAUGUAAACAUUACAAUAUCAUGUGAAUCUUGACAGUUUUAUUAGGAUUGGAAAACAAGUGAAUUUUCAUUUGUACAAAUUUCUCUCUUUUCUCAUUGGCAAUCAUACCACCUUUUCUUAUUUAUAUAUUUACAUUACAUACUAUUAAAUAGACCUUUCAUCUCCUCCAGGGGUCCACUUCCCAUGUACAACACAUAUA